AAAUCCUCUGAACAUUAGAAGGAUUCAAGCAAAAUAAAAAAAAAAAAAGAACGUAUGAGAAUGAUCUCACAUGGUUAACUAAUCAAUCAUUGCAAUAUGGAUUAUCUAAAUCUCUACUUCUUCUUCUACUCUGUCGUCGUUUGUUAAUCACAGAACGAAUUUUGAACCCUGGAUCAAAUUGGGAAUGAAAAAUCGAACAGUAUUACAUGAGUCGAUUAAGGUUAGUAAAUACAGAGAUGCUACAAUGAAUCAGGAACUAAUUAGCGCCUCUAAUGAAUUUUUUGUUGAACUCAUUCAAACAAUUUAGGAUUUUCUUUUGUAAGGGCACCAACCUGAUGCCGUGAAAAACAGGAGAACAAGGAUGUUGUUGCACCCAAAAAAAAGGAUGUUGUUGCACCUUCCUCAUUCUCGCUGCUGGGCAUGGUAUGAUGAGUUGGUUGAGUGUAAAUUCGAAUUUGGUCUUCUGGUUUUGGUAAGAGAUUUCCACUCCAUGAAAACAGCAAGAACUUGUGAUGUUGCCGUCGAUUGGGAGAUAUAUGGAUGGAAGGAGACAUGGUAGGCCAAGGAAUGAUCAGCAGACUCGUGCAUAUAUCACCAACAAGAUGCACAUUAGAUGCUUGUAAAAAUGUCUGAACCACUUGUUUUCUCGUCGGGAAGUAAAUUAAGCAGCUUACAUAACAAUUGUUAAAACUUUUAAGACGAACACAUUAAUGAAGCUCUCUACGAAUUUUUGUUGUUGGAUUAUAGACAUAGUAUUCAAAACUAGUAUGAAGAUAGCAAUGAUCAUCGUUAAUAGCUAUCUUUUUAACUUCUGAUAUCAUUUAGUUGCCAAACUUGCUUAUUAGCUUUUUAACUUUUAAGUCACCCAGUUACCGAACUAACUUGAUCAUAAUUUUACUUCUCAGAAGUACUUCUGAGAAGUUCAGAAGCAGAAGAAAAUCUGCUUCUGAUACCCGCUAUAAAUCAUAGCCCGAGCGUAACUAUUUUCUUCCUCUUUUUUAACUCACUUCGAUCUUCUUCUGUUCUCGAUCGAGCGCUGAUGGAGGGGAAUCCGCCAGGUGAUCUGAAAUCACUAUUCUUCUUUCACUUGUUUUUUGGUUGCUAUCAUCAACAGGAGAAGGAAGCCAUUGAAUUCACCAUCUCUGUAACACCCCCUUUAUCUCUUUACUGUUUUUAUUAACAAAGAUUCAAUUUGAGAUUUGGUUUUUUUUGUCGAAUGCGGAGAAAGACAUAGCUGAGUAUAUCAAGAAGGAAUUAAGAAACAUGGUCCUACUUGGAAUUGUAUUGUUGGUCGCGAUUUCGGUAUCACUUUCUUACUUUCUUUCUUCAUUUUGUUUAAUGAACUUUAGUUGUUUUUGUAAAUGACCCAGUGAAAUUUAAUUAGGGUUGAAUUUGGAUCAGUCUGCUUAGAGAUGUUCCGUUGCAACGAAUAUUAAAUUGCCCUUUAUAAUCAUUAAGAUAAUAAAAACACUUGAUGGACCGGGAAAGGAUUGAGAUACGGUGUUCUUGCCCUCCCCCGGGCCCCGCCUGGCAUUUUUAAAAUCUCAUUGUAUCUUUAAAUGCCUCAUGGUCCAAGUUCUAUACGUUCUUUAAGUUUGUGUAGAACUGUUGUAGAGUUAAUGUAAAUGGAAUGUUUGGCUCCUCAAGCAUUAACAGCAUCAUUACGUAUGAAUUUUGUGUCUGGUAGUGUGUUUGAAAGUAAGUCAUUGUGAUAUGUGUACAUUCAUUAUUAAACUUCUCUAUGUAUAGUCAUAGUGAAAUGUUUUUUUUUUCUUUUCUCACUCAUGUCUUGAGAGACCUCAAUUGGGACUACCACCACUGUCAUUUACCAUGCAGUUAAUGGCCAACGCCAUCAUCCACUAGUCACUUCCACAACUGCUUAUUUCCCUUGGUGCCAUUACCACACUUCCUUGUUGCGCCCAAGGUUCCAUCAGUUGAACUGUUGCUGUCACUUUCAUAUUGCUACCACAACUUCACCACCACCAUCUCUAAUUGAAAAUGUUGGCUUGAUAUAGGGAAGUGACAAGCAAAGAUAUUAAGACAUAGCGAUGUCCUAGUCCUAGAUUUCAUGACAUAAGAUCAAUGAUUAUAUGAAAAAAGGCAGGGAACAGCAGAUAUAUCUAAAUUAAAUGCCCUAAUUAGAAGGAUUUCAUUCAAUGUGUUGGACUUAUAGUGCAAGUUUGUUCUUUGUAGAUUCUCUGUAUUCUUUCUUGCAUAAUUUUUAUGUACUGCGCAUCUUCUUCGUGUCUGUCAAUUGAUAAGCAGUGGUAUGGUAUACAUAUGGCAUCCGUGUUCAUGCAGCACUACGCCCUAGUUUUGAUAUUCAUCUAACAUAGUCCAAAUUCUGUCGUUCCACACACUGUUUGAACCUUCAUGCUCAGGUGGCAUAAUGUUGAAUCAAAAUAUCAUCCUGCAUAUAUAAUUACAAGAUAUUCUUUGUAGUGUUACCAAAUUAGUAUCAGUAUUGAUACAUGUUGAGUUUGUAGUGUCACAAUCACUGAUUAACUAUAGUACACUGAAAAAUAAGAUGUCAUUGUAAUUUAUGCGACCUUGUUAAAGAGGUACCCAAUUAAUAUUAUGCGACCGGGUUAAAGAGGUAUCAAAUUUAUAUUAUGCGACCUUGUAUAAGUGGUACCCAAUUAAUAUUAUGCGACCUCCUUAAAGAGAUACGCGACCUCCUUAGCUAUUAUGCUAGGUUCCCUAAAUGACAUUCCACUGGAUAGUUUCUUGUAUUAAUAGAGGUAAUGGUUGAGUUUCAAUUUAGUACGCCUCUGAACAUUAUAUUGGUAUUCAUUCCCAUAUUUCUAAUCUGAUUGCCACAAGUUAUGACCCAGAGUAUAAAAAUCUCGCACCAGCAGCAGCAGACAAUGUGUGAAAUAUGACCAAGGGUGGCCUUUUGGUGUGCAAUCUAGGUGCAGCGAAGGCACAAACGACGCUUGUUCAGGAAUCACCAAAAGAAGCCAGCAUCUCGACAUCAAAAAAAGUUGACGAAAUGUCAGAAUCUGAUUAGUGUUUCAGAAAUAUUAUGGUCCUGUAAGAAUGAAGCACUGUACUUUAGGUAUUCACCUCUGUUUGUACACAUGGCUUCUGGAGAUUUAGACGAUAAAGAAUUUUAUUAAUACGUUGCUAAUCAUGCACAUCUUUUGAACGAUUUUUUGGAACUGUAUAAGUUAGCUGAAAAUCAAUGUAUUGAUGAUUCUGAUAAGGCUCAACUCUUACUGUGGAGUGAUACUGUGAAACAAGAACUGGAAAGGCACAAUUCUUUCGUCGAAAAACUGGGUUUAUCCCCUACAAAGAGACCGCUCUUCGCCCUCCAACAUUGAAAUACGUAGAGUUCUUGUUAGCAAUUGAUUCUGGUAAUAUACAAGUUCAUGGAAUUCCAAAACAGCUGUCAAAAAUUCCUGCUUAUACUCUUGGUGCUAUGACGUAGGCCUGGGACUCUAUGCCUUUCUUAGUAAGAUGGUGCAGAAACUUGUUAGUCCUUAUCAUAAUUCUCACCCAGGCAGCAAGUAGAUCAAAGAAUACUCUUACGAAAGUUUCAAGACAUCUUAUCAGCAUGCUGAGGUAGUGCUUGAUAACCUAUGCAACUCUUUGGCCCAGGAAGAGAUUGGAGUGAAGAUCUAACAAGGUCUCGUGAAAUGAGCCUUGAGAAUGAGUAGAGAUAUCGAAGCAAGAGAUUUGUUUUUUGGGUUAGUCUGAUGAUUGAAUUUUCGAAUGAGUUUAGCAAAAUCUGAAAUUUACAAAGCUUAUAAUUUAGUGUUUUAUUCUUUCUGAAAAAGGUCUCGUGAUAACUGUGAA
Molecule: long non-coding RNA, 3798 nt
Organism: Papaver somniferum (opium poppy)
Lineage: Eukaryota; Viridiplantae; Streptophyta; Magnoliopsida; Ranunculales; Papaveraceae
Exons: 6
Source: RefSeq, a predicted model, not a curated record